UAGUAACUGCGAGUGAAGCGGGAAAAGCUCAAAUUUAAAAUCUGGCGGUCUUUGGCCGUCCGAGUUGUAGUCUGGAGAAGUGCUUUCCGCGCUGGACCGUGUACAAGUCUCUUGGAACAGAGCGUCAUAGAGGGUGAGAAUCCCGUCUUUGACACGGACUACCAGUGCUUUGUGAUGCGCUCUCAAAGAGUCGAGUUGUUUGGGAAUGCAGCUCUAAAUGGGUGGUAAAUUCCAUCUAAAGCUAAAUAUUGGCGAGAGACCGAUAGCGAACAAGUACCGUGAGGGAAAGAUGAAAAGCACUUUGGAAAGAGAGUUAAACAGUACGUGAAAUUGCUGAAAGGGAAACGCUUGAAGUCAGUCGCGUUGGCCGGGACUCAGCCUUGCUUUUUGCUUGGUGCAUUUUCCGGUUGACGGGCCAGCAUCGAUUUUGACCGUCGGAAAAGGGCUGGGGAAAUGUGGCACCUUCGGGUGUGUUAUAGUCUCUAGUCGCAUACGGCGGUCGGGAUCGAGGAACGCAGCGCGCCGCAAGGCAGGGGUUCGCCCACUUUCGCGCUUAGGAUGCUGGCAUAAUGGCUUUAAACGACCCGUCUUGAAACACGGACCAAGGAGUCUAACUUACCUGCGAGUGUUUGGGUGGAAAACCCGAGCGCGUAAUGAAAGUGAAAGUUGAGACCUCUGUCGUGGAGGGCAUCGACGCCCGGACCUGACGUUCUCUGACGGAUCCGCGGUAGAGCAUGUAUGUUGGGACCCGAAAGAUGGUGAACUAUGCCUGAAUAGGGUGAAGCCAGAGGAAACUCUGGUGGAGGCUCGUAGCGAUUCUGACGUGCAAAUCGAUCGUC
RNAcentral lists this ribosomal RNA (839 nucleotides) under Fomes fomentarius. Its description in RNAcentral is "eukaryotic LSU rRNA". It matches the Rfam family "Eukaryotic large subunit ribosomal RNA", at positions 81 to 906 of the family's 3401-position model. Lineage: Eukaryota; Fungi; Basidiomycota; Agaricomycetes; Polyporales; Polyporaceae. The record is from RNAcentral.